RNAcentral lists this ribosomal RNA (497 nucleotides) under uncultured bacterium. RNAcentral's name for it is "partial 16S ribosomal RNA". It matches the Rfam family "Bacterial small subunit ribosomal RNA", at positions 28 to 507 of the family's 1533-position model. The record is from RNAcentral.
GAUGAACGCUGGCGGCGUGCCUAAUACAUGCAAGUCGAACGAACGGACGAGAACCUUGCUUCUCUGAUGUUGGCGGCGGGCGGGUGAGUACCACGUGUACACCCUACCUAUAAGACUGGGAUAACUACGGGAAACCGGAGCUAAUACCGGCUAAGAUUUUGAACCGCAUGGUUCAAAAGUGAAAGACGGUCUUGCUGUCACUUAUAGAUUGAUCCGCGCUGCAUUAGCUAGUUGGUAAGGUAACGGCUUACCAAGGCAACGAUGCAUAGCCGACCUGAGAGGGUGAUCGGCCACACUGGAACUGAGACACGGUCCAGACUCCUACGGGAGGCAGCAGUAGGGAAUCUUGCGCAAUGGGCGAAAGCCUGACGGAGCAACGCCGCGUGAGUGAUGAAGGUCUUCGGAUCGUAAAACUCUGUUAUUAGGGAAGAACAUAUGUGUAAGUAACUGUGCACAUCUUGACGGUACCUAAUCAGAAAGCCCCGGCUAACUACGUG